Molecule: non-coding RNA, 49 nt
Filed under: unclassified sequences
Description: algC RNA
Rfam family: algC RNA
Source: RNAcentral
AUAAAAUUGGCCGCUUCGGUCAGGGCCAACUAUUGCCUGAAAAGGGUAA